This is a long non-coding RNA of Armigeres subalbatus, 503 nucleotides long. RefSeq lists it as uncharacterized. NCBI's taxonomy places the organism in Eukaryota, Metazoa, Arthropoda, Insecta, Diptera, Culicidae. The transcript has 3 exons. The record is from RefSeq and is a predicted model, not a curated record.
CAAACCUUGGGGAAAAAAUGAUUCAGGCGUGAUUGCAUUUUUCCUUCGGAUUUUUCAAAAUUGUAUAAUCAGUAUAUAAUAAUUCCUCAUGCGAAAAUUAUGAGUUAUGUUGAGUAAAUUGUGAAAAACUAAAAUUAAGAAUCGUAUGGAAACUUCGCAUGGGCAGUUCAGCAGGCGCAUUUUCGCCUACUAUGCAGGACAGUCUGCCGGAUCGACUAGUAUACUAUAUCAGGGCUGAUAGCAAUGAAUGUCGUUCAAAAUAGUGACUUUAGUGACCAAUGGUGACGAAAAAAUGACCAAAUAAUUUUAAAAAUCCGACCAUUUCAUUCCCCUUCACACUUUGUACGCAAAGGUGACGUUGAACUACGUAACUGUAUGUAAUUGUAAUGUACAGGUUUUCGACUUUUCUGUUCGAUGAGACCAAGGCAAGCGAUUUUCAAGCCCAGAGUAAAUCUGUUUUCGUUGUGUAUCCUGUGCUCCUGAGCUUGAGUGAGCAUCACGAA